CACGCCGUAAACGAUGAAUACUAGGUGUGGGGGUUGUCAUGACCUCCGUGCCGCCGCUAACGCAUUAAGUAUUCCGCCUGGGGAGNAGCAACGCGAAGAACCUUACCUAGACUUGACAUCUCCUGAAUUACUCUUAAUCGAGGAAGCCCUUCGGGGCAGGAAGACAGGUGG
Molecule: ribosomal RNA, 171 nt
Filed under: uncultured bacterium
Lineage: Bacteria
Description: partial 16S ribosomal RNA
Rfam family: Bacterial small subunit ribosomal RNA
Source: RNAcentral